Molecule: ribosomal RNA, 439 nt
Filed under: uncultured bacterium
Lineage: Bacteria
Description: bacterial SSU rRNA
Rfam family: Bacterial small subunit ribosomal RNA
Source: RNAcentral
AACGCGAAGAACCUUACCUGGGUUUGACAUACGCCGGAAAGCCAUGGAGACAUGGCCCCUUUUUGUCGGUGUACAGGUGGUGCAUGGCUGUCGUCAGCUCGUGUCGUGAGAUGUUGGGUUAAGUCCCGCAACGAGCGCAACCCUUGUCGCAUGUUGCCAGCGCGCCCUUCGGGGUGGCGGGGACUCAUGCGAGACUGCCGGGGUCAACUCGGAGGAAGGUGGGGAUGACGUCAAGUCAUCAUGCCCCUUAUGUCCAGGGCUUCACGCAUGCUACAAUGGCCGGUACAGAGGGCUGCGAUCCCGUGAGGGGGAGCGAAUCCCUAAAAGCCGGUCUCAGUUCGGAUUGGGGUCUGCAACUCGACCCCAUGAAGUCGGAGUCGCUAGUAAUCGCAGAUCAGCAACGCUGCGGUGAAUACGUUCCCGGGCCUUGUACACACCG